GACGGGGCCGCACAAGCGUGGAGCAUGUGGUUAAUUCGAAGCAACGCGAAGAACCUACCAGGCCUUGACAUGCUAGGGAACCCGGGUGAAAGCCUGGGGUGCCCGCGAGGGAGCCUAGCACAGGUGCUGCAUGGCCGUCGUUAGCUCGUGCCGUGAGGUGUUGGGUUAAGUCCCAUAACGAGCGCAACCCUUAUCGUUAGUUGCCAUCUGGUAAUGCAGGGGACUCUAGCGAAACUGCCACCGUAAGGUGAGAGGAAGGUGGGGAUGACGUCAAAUCAGCACGGCCCUUAUGUCCAGGGCUACACACGUGUUACAAUGGUCGGUACAGAGGGCAGCUACCUGGUGACAGGAUGCUAAUCUCGAAAACCGGUCUCAGUUCGGAUCGAAGUCUGCAACUCGACUUCGUGAAGCUGGAUUCGCUAGUAAUCGCGCAUCAGCUAUGGCGCGGUGAAUACGUUCCCGGGCCUU
RNAcentral lists this ribosomal RNA (468 nucleotides) under uncultured Sphingobacteriales bacterium. RNAcentral describes it as "bacterial SSU rRNA". It matches the Rfam family "Bacterial small subunit ribosomal RNA", at positions 917 to 1381 of the family's 1533-position model. Lineage: Bacteria; Pseudomonadati; Bacteroidota; Sphingobacteriia; Sphingobacteriales. The record is from RNAcentral.